AAUUAACGCUGGCGGCAUGCCUAACACAUGCAAGUCGCACGAGAAAGCCCGGUUCGCCGGGCGAGUAAAGUGGCGCACGGGUGAGUAACGCGUGGAUAAUCUACCUCGUUCUGGGGGAUAACCCAUCGAAAGGUGGGCUAAUACCGCAUAAUCCGGCUUUUUUAUGAAUUGGUCGGCAAAGGUGGCCUCUUGAUCAAAGCUACCGGGAAGAGAUGAGUCCGCGUCCCAUUAGCUAGUUGGUAGGGUAAUGGCCUACCAAGGCGACGAUGGGUAGCUGGUCUGAGAGGACGAUCAGCCACACUGGAACUGGUACACGGUCCAGACUCCUACGGGAGGCUG
Molecule: ribosomal RNA, 339 nt
Filed under: uncultured Pseudomonadota bacterium
Lineage: Bacteria; Pseudomonadati; Pseudomonadota
Description: bacterial SSU rRNA
Rfam family: Bacterial small subunit ribosomal RNA
Source: RNAcentral